RNAcentral lists this long non-coding RNA (798 nucleotides) under Equus caballus (horse). Its description in RNAcentral is "lncRNA (ENSECAG00000048513.1)". The record is from RNAcentral. Lineage: Eukaryota; Metazoa; Chordata; Mammalia; Perissodactyla; Equidae.
CUAUUUCUGUGACAGAAAAUGAAGUCCCAUUAUGUCAAAACUGUAGAACACAUGGAGCCUUCUGCAGAAGCUUGACGUGUUAUCUGCCAAAAAGAUAUUAAGCAAACCAAAUUCAUCUGGUGUUUUCUAUAAAUGACUCACUAUUAUUGUCUAGCAUCCUAUUGUACCAGAUACCUGAAAGACUUGGAGAGGUUGUGAGGCGAUGACAGGAAGAUGUUUCCUCCAGACAGCGUCUACCUAAGAGAUUCAGCUGCACUCGGAUACGCUUGCGGCGAGCUCCCUGAAGAGUUUCCCUGUGCUUGGAGGAAGAAGUAACGUCAGUAAAUCAAAAUUUACACCCUGUUGACCUUGGAAAUACAAAGGCAACACAAUAAACCAACAUGAGGUCAUGUUUCCAUUCUGGUUGAGGACAGGGGAACAUUUAAUCCUGAGCAGAGUGAGGGAGACAGGAGGAAAUAAAAUGCAUGCUGACUGAGACGGUACUGUUUUCUCUUGCAGUUUGCUCUGCAAGAUCCAGUUGGGAAAGGAAGAAGCAUUUAUUUCUCUUGCUUUCCACACAUACCUUUGAAGUGUCUUAGCAUCAAAAGAAACACCCAGCCUGAAACUAUAUUUUCUUUACUCAAAACGUGUGGUGUAAGUGAGAAUGGGUAUGAGAGGGGGGAGGUGCAGGGGGAGCUUUGUGGGCACAAAGAAAUAGUCAAGAUAAAAAUCAUGAUAAAAAUCAUAAUUUCCAAGACUUAAGACAGAUGCCUCUGAUUGGGGAGAGUUAUUUAUGUUGGUUAUAGGUUCCUAAAGGGC